UUCUAUCUAUCUUUCAAAAGCAAUUUCAUAUUUGAUACGAGCGGGACCUUUGAUUUGAACCCUUCAACCGAAGAACUGUGAGAUUAUUUUCUUGAAAAAGGAAGGUUAAAAAUUGGGCUUCACCAGACUCCCCCAGUUCGCACUAGAUUUGAAAUUUAUUCUGUUUUGUCUUUUGUUUGUUUAACUUCAUUGGCAAUUGCUUCAAAAAUCACUCUCGGUUUCUGAGACUGAGUUUCACUGCAUAGGGAAUUCUUCGGGAUUUUACGCCAUUGGAGUACCUUCUUCUCAAAAUUGUCGAGUUUUUGGUUCGGACUAAAGGGUCGUUCUGGUUUAGUUAUUUGUCCUUAAUCCCACAAAAGAGCUUGAGAAAUCUAUAAGCAUUACAGAGCUCAGUUUUUGUUAGUUGCCUCUCAUAUAGUCGGUCUGUUUCGCUGGAAUGCCAUGGGGUUUGCCUUAUAGAAUUGAUUAUUUCUCCAUUUCUUCAUAUGGGGUCAGCACAAUUAGGAUUUUGAUGGCUCUGUGAAUGGCGACUUAGUUUGCCAAGUCGAUUUGGAACCCUAGAAAGUUCCGUAAUAUGCAGGGUUCAUCUAGCUCAAUGGCCCAGCCGGAGGCCAUUCUUGACUGGCUUCAGAAGGAAAUGGGGUAUCGCCCUCUAGGUUCAUAUAGCGCAUCGAGCAAAUCGCAGUUGCCAUCGGUAGAUGCCUUCCGCAAGGUUUGUCGAGGAAAUAUGAUACCCAUUUGGAAUUUUUUGAUCACUCGUGUUAAAUCGGAGAAGACGGUGGAGAAUAUUAGGAGAAACAUAAUGGUACAUGGUGGUGGUGGUGGUGGAGCAGGCGAGAGCAGUAGUGGAGGGUCAGCUAAUUCAGGGAAAGAAGAGGGCAGGGUGGUGAAAGGGAGGAGGAAGGAUAAAGUGGCUGCAGAGAGCCCAACUGUGGUUGAGACUCGAGAAGUGGCAUUGCAGGAGAGGGAAUUGGCGGCCAAGGAGGUGGAGAGACUGAGGAAUGCUGUUAAAAGGCAAAGGAAGGAUUUGAAAGCCAGAAUGUUGGAAGUAUCUAGAGAGGAGGCUGAGCGAAAAAGGAUGCUUGAUGAGCGAGCAAAUUACAGGCAUAAACAAGUAAUGUUGGAAGCUUAUGACCGACAGUGUGAUGAAGCAGAAAAAAUAUUUGAAGAAUACCACAAACGUCUACGGUUUUAUGUGAAUCAAGCAAGAGAAGCUCAAAGGUCAAGUGUGGAUUCUUCCGUUGAAGUGAUUAAUAACUUCAGUGCAAAUAUCGAGAGGGAAGCUGUUUAUUCAACUGUUAAAGGUAGUAAGUCAGCAGAUGAUGUGAUUCUUAUUGAGACUACUCGUGAGAGAAAUAUCAGAAAGGCUUGUGAAUCUCUUGCAUCCCUUAUGAUUGAAAAGAUACGUUCUUCGUUUCCUGCCUAUGAAGGCGGUGGUAUUCAUUUUAAUUCACAAUUAGAAGCUUCGAAAUUGGGUAUUGAUUUUGACGGGGAAAUACCUGAUGAGGUUAGAACUGUUAUUGUUAAUUGUCUGAAGCAUCCUCCUCAACUGCUUCAGGCAAUUACAUCGUACACUCUACGACUUAAAACUCUAGUUUCUAGAGAGGUGGAGAAAUUCGAUGUCAGAGCUGAUGCUGAAACCUUGAGAUACAAAUAUGAGAACAAUAGAGUUACAGAUGUCUCAUCUUCUGAUGCCAACUCACCGCUUCAUUAUGAACUGUAUGGUAAUGGCAAGAUAGGAGUUGACGUACCUUCUAAAGGAACACAGAAUCAACUUCUUGAAAGACAGAAAGCACACGUGCAACAAUUUUUGGCCACUGAAGAUGCAUUGAACAAAGCUGCUGAAGCUAGAGACAUAUGUCAAAAGCUAUUAAAUCGGUUACAUGGUAGCAGCGAUGUAAUUUCUUCUCAAUCGUUUGGUGUUGGAGGGACAUCACAAAAUGUUGGAGGUCUUAGACAAUUUGAGUUGGAAGUUUGGGCUAAAGAGAGAGAACUUGCUGGUUUGAGGGCUAGCUUGAAUACACUAAUGUCAGAAAUACAACGCUUGAAUAAGUUAUGUGCAGAAAGAAAAGAAGCUGAAGAUUCUUUGAGAAAGAAGUGGAAGAAGAUAGAGGAGUUUGAUGCGCGCAGAUCUGAACUUGAAACUAUAUAUACUGCUCUUCUGAAGGCUAAUACAGAUGCUGCAAUAUUCUGGAACCAGCAGCCUUUGGCUGCAAGAGAGUAUGCUUCAAGCACCAUCAUCCCUGCAUGCGUUGUUGUCUCUGAUAUUUCAAAUAGUGCGAAAGAGCUUAUUGAUAAUGAAGUUUCAGCCUUUUAUAGAAGUCCUGAUAAUACCAUUUUCAUGCUUCCAUCAACACCGCAGGCACUGUUAGAAUCCAUGGGUGUAAAUGUUACUUUAGGACCUGAUGCAGUUGCUGCUGCGGAGAAGAAUGCUGCCAUAUUGACUGCAAAAGCUGGUGCGAGGGAUCCAUCAGCAAUACCUUCUAUAUGUCGUGUUUCUGCUGCCCUUCAAUAUCCAACUGGUUUGGAGGGCUCAGAUGCUAGUUUAACAUCAGUUUUGGAAUCUCUGGAAUUCUGCUUGAAACUUCGAGGUUCUGAGGCCAGUGUGUUGGAAGAGUUAGCAAAAGCAAUCAAUUUGGUCCAUAUAAGGCAGGAUCUAGUUGAAAGUGGCCAUGCACUACUAAAACAUGCUCAUCGAGCUCAGACUGAUUAUGAAAGGACAACAAAAUAUUGCUUAAAUUUGGCCAUGGAGCAAGAGAAAUGUGUCACAGAGAAGUGGUUACCUGAACUUAGAACCGCAGUCGCGAGUGCUCAGAAGAGCUUGGAAGAUUGCAAAUAUGUCAGAGGAUUGCUUGAUGAGUGGUGGGAACAGCCAGCAUCAACUGUUGUUGAUUGGGUUACUGUUGACGGGCAAAAUGUUGCCGCUUGGCACAAUCAUGUAAAACAACUUCUUGCUUUUUAUGACAAGGAGCUCUUGUAGUACAGAAGCAUUGAAUUAUUGGUUCAAUUGAAGCUGAAUUGGUCAAAUCAUCCCCUUUGCUUGUAUUUCUUUGUACCACUCGUGUUAAAAUUCAUAACCACGUAAACAGCAAGCCCGGUCUGGUAAUGGCGGUGGGAAAUCUCCUGUGAUCUUAGUGACAAAAAGGUGUAUACCACCAGGGUGAAGAGUGCAAUGAUCAAUAUCUUUACCCAUUUCAUGGUUGGCGUGCAGCUAGGACUCCCUCCUUUCGUUACAGAAUCUGAAUGUCAUGUUUCUUCCAAUUGUGUGUUUCAAGAGACGUGCAGUCAAUCUAUGGCUUGAGUUUUUGCUGCUGGUGUUGUUUGUCUGGUGCUUAUGUUGUAUGUAAGGUUAGCAGCUUUACGUUUUGGUCUCUACCUUUAUGAAGUGUAAGGCCCAACUCGAAUUAUGUGGCAACUCUACAAUAUGCCCGAAUCACGAAGGCUAUAACUUUAGUGGGUGGUAGAUGCAAGGUAGCAACGGUUGUUGAAGCAGGUGAUGCUGUGAAUUUGAAUUCUCUUUUUGCCACUUUAUAUCAGUGACGACCAUGACAAAUAUGCAGAAUUUUUAAGUCUGACAAUAAAGAACUACUUUGUUAUUAGCUCUUUGAUGAAAUGGCAAAUCUUUUGAAUAUUUGCAUCGAAA
This is an RNA transcript of Cucumis melo (muskmelon), 3643 nucleotides long. It is a transcript of the gene named AUGMIN subunit 5, with no coding region annotated. The record is from RefSeq and is a predicted model, not a curated record. The transcript has 11 exons. NCBI's taxonomy places the organism in Eukaryota, Viridiplantae, Streptophyta, Magnoliopsida, Cucurbitales, Cucurbitaceae.